RNAcentral lists this ribosomal RNA (3662 nucleotides) under Candidatus Doudnabacteria bacterium RIFCSPHIGHO2_02_FULL_42_25. RNAcentral's name for it is "bacterial LSU rRNA". It matches the Rfam family "Bacterial large subunit ribosomal RNA", at positions 1 to 2464 of the family's 2925-position model. The record is from RNAcentral. Lineage: Bacteria; Candidatus Doudnaibacteriota.
AAUUAAACAAAUAAGGGUGUAUGGUGGAUGCCUUGACAGUUUGAGCCUAAGAAGGACGCAGCAACCUGCGAAAGCUUCGGUGAGGUGGUAAGCAACCUUUGAUCCGGAGGUGUCCGAAUGGGGAAACCUAUCUGUUUGAAGAACAGAUGAUCAGUAUCCGUGGUGGAUACGAGAUCGGGAACCAUGCGAAGUGAAACAUCUCAGUAGCAUGUGGAAAAGAAAAUAAGGGCAUUAUUUAAUUUGAACUUUUGAUAUUGAAGUUCAAAUCGAAUAUUGUCUCAUUCUCCUAGUAGUGGCGAGCGAACGGGGAGGAGUCUAAACUAACUUUGUGUCUUCGAGUCGAAGAGUAAUCGCAAGAUUAUUUCAAACUCGGAUUAAAGCUUACAGGCGUUGCAAGGAUUAGUGUUGUAACAAUCAUUCAUUAGAACUCUGUAAAGUUCUUGAAGAUUCAGUUGGAGCUGUUUAGCCGAAUGGUCUGGAAAGACCAGCCAAAGAACGUGAUAGCCGUGUAGCGCGAAAAACCUCUUAUAUCUUCCGAAUGGUUUGUUAAGUACAACUAGACACGUGAAAUCUAGUUGGAAUCUGUGUCGACUACGACAUAAGACUAAAUACUCAAAUUGAUCGAUAGUGAACAAGUACCGCGAGGGAAAGGUGAAAAGCAGCCCGGUGAGGGCGAUGAAAUAGUACCUGAAACCAUACACUUACAAUCGAGUGGGAGCUCCAACGCCGCAGGGUGUUGUGAGUGACCGCGUGCCUAUUGAAGAAUGAUCCAACGAGUUAGCCGUACGUUGCUUACUUAAGCAUUAUCAAAUGCGAAGGUAUAGUGAAAGCGAGCCUUAAUAGGGCGUAAAAAUCAGAUAUCAGAUAAUCGGAGAUUUUCCGACCUCUGAUUUCCGAUUUUAGGUAGCGUGCGCUAAACCCGAAACCCGGUGAUCUACUCAUGGUCAGGAUGAACGUUAUGUAAAAGUAACGGGAGGUCCGAACGCUAGAAUGUUGCAAAAUUCCGCGAUGAACUGUGAGUAGGGGAGAAAUUCCAAUCGAACUGGGUAAUAGCUGGUUCUCCUCGAAAUAGCUUUAGGGCUAGCCUGUGCCGCACGUGUUUGAGGUAGAGCACUGAAUCGGCUCUGCGGGAGCAAUCUCGUAGACCGAACCAAACUCCGAAUUCAAACACUUAAGGGCAUGGAGUCAGACAAUGAGGUCUAAGCUUCGUUUGUCUAAUGGAGAAGAAUCCACACCGCCGUUUAAGGUCCCUAAAUCAAAACUAUAGUGUAAAGGAUGUGGGAACACUUAUACAACCAGGAGGUUGGCUUAGAAGCAGCCAUCCUUUAAAGAAAGCGUAACAGCUCACUGGUCAAGCGUUCUUGCGCCGACAAUGUAUAGGGGCUAAGUUUUGUACCGAAGACGCGGAUCCAAGUUCGGAGGUCAGAAAUCAGAUGUCAGAGGUCAGAGAAAUCCGACUUCUGAUUAUCCGACUUCCGAUCUCUGAACUUGGGUGGUAGAGGAGCGUUGUAUGUGGGCUGAAGCAGAGAGGGAACUCUCUGUGGACUGCAUACAAGUGAGAAUGUUGGAAUAAGUAAUAUGUAUGCAUGUGAGAAUCAUGCACACCGAAAAUCCAAGGUUUCCUGGGCAAUGAUAAUCAUCCCAGGGUUAGUCGAUCCUAAGUUCGUACCCGAACGGGUGCGGAUGAUGGCAAAUACGGUUGAUAUUCCGUAACCGCUUAUAAUACUGAUGCAAUUACACAUCAUGGUAAUCCGAGCAUAUUUUGACUAUAUGUGUUCUUGUGUUCUUAGCUGGGUGCUUGAGGUAAACCCCAAGCGUCUAUGUGUCCAGUUCGGAGGUCAGAGAUCAGAUGUCAGAGAUCGGAGAAAUUCGACUUCUGAUUAUCCGACUUCCGAUCUCCGAACUUGGAUUACUGUAACAGUGAAAACAUGAGAGAAGCUCGGUAACGGGCAAUUUGGACGAACCAAGGUGUCAAGAAACGUUGCUAGGGAUUAGCGAAGUUGUCUCGCAAGAGGUGACUUUGCUAAAUAGUUAUAAGUGAUCGUACCGCAAACCGACACAGGUGGAUGAGUGCUAGAAUACUAAGGUGACCGGGACAAUAAUCCUUAAGGAACUCGGCAAAAAAGCAGGCGUAAGUUAGCAAUAUGCCUUGCCCAGCCCCACUCUUCAGAUUCUAUGAUGAAUUUGAGAGUAAUGUUCCAGUUUAAGACAAUACACUCUAAGACAUAGUAGUUUUUGAUGAGUGGAGCUGGGUCGCAGCGACUGACCCCUCCCGACUGUUUAUCAAAAACUUAGGUCCGUGCAAACCCGCAAGGGGAAGUAUACGGGCUGAUGCCUGGCCAGUGUUAGAAGGUUAAACUCUUUUGCGCAAGCUCAAGAGCCAAGCCCUAAUGAACGCCGGCGAUAACUAUAAUCGUCCUAUGGUGAACUAAAAGCUGCCAUAGUAAAACUUGGCCAAAUGCUGGGAUAUCUGGUGUAUCGAGCGCUACUAGGUUAUAAUGACAAUGGAUAUUUAUUCCUUGUCUUAUGAAACAAAGUAAAAAUGCGUCUCGUGCAGACAAUCAGCAGGAAAGGCUAAUUGGUUGGAUUUUAGGGUUUGUUGAUGGAGAAGGUUGUUUCUCGAUUAAUUUCACGAAACAGCCAGAUCGUCAGGAAGCCACUAGAAUCCGGAGAGGUUACAAGACUGGUUAUCAAAUUUCGCAAAACUUUGCAGUAGUGCAAGGUCAGCGUAGUCUAAGGUCUUUAGAAGUGAUUAAGAUUUUCUUCGGAAUUGGUAAAAUUUACCGAAAUCGAAGACAUGAUAAUCAUAAAGAAGAUUUAUACAGCUAUAAAGUUACUAAUCGCGAAGAUUUGAAACGAGUAAUUAUUCCCUUUUUUAAACGGAAUAAACUGAUAACCUCGAAGCGAAAUGAUUUUUUGUUGUUCGCAAAGUGUGUUGAGUUAAUGCUACAGAAUAAGCACCUCGCAAUUGGCGGAAUGCUUAAAAUAGCCAGACUUACACAAAAGAUGAAUCACAAAAAAUCGCGAGAUAAACUAAUUAGAAUCCUCAGAGACUAUACGCCAAGGUCGUCCAAAAGACGACAAGAUAUAGUCCCAACUGCAUAGCGAUAUGCAGGCUUAACAGCACUUAAUCAUAAAAGAUUAAGAAAGACCCGAGCGAAAUUCCUUGUCGUGUAAGUUACGACCCGCACGAAUGGCAUAACGAGUAGGGGACUGUCUUAAGGAUUAACCCGAUGAAUUUACAUUGACGGUAAAGAUGCCGUCUACCCGCAACAAGACGGAAAGACCCUAUGAAGCUUUACUAUAGUGUGUCAUUGAUGCAAGAAUUUUUUUGUUUAGCAUAGGUGGGAGCCUUCGAAGUACUGGCGCUAGCUGGUAUGGAGGCGACAAGUGAAAUACCACCCUGAAAGAUUUUUGUUUCUAACCUUUAUUUAACCAACAAAGGGACAGUGGCUCAUGGGUAGUUUAACUGGGGCGGUUGCCUCCUAAAUGGUAACGGAGGCGUUUAUUAAGGUGAGCUUAGCUCCGAUGGAAACGGAGUGUGACGCGCAAACGCAAAAGCUCGCUUAACUGCAAGGCUGGCACGCCGCGCAGAUACGAAAGUAGAAGUUAGUGAUCCGACCAUCCUUCGUGGAAGGGUGGAAGCUCAACGGAUAAAAGUU